CAGGGUAUAGACCCGAAACCCGGUGAUCUAGCCAUGGGCAGGUUGAAGGUUGGGUAACACUAACUGGAGGACCGAACCGACUAAUGUUGAAAAAUUAGCGGAUGACCUGUGGCUGGGGGUGAAAGGCCAAUCAAACCGGGAGAUAGCUGGUUCUCCCCGAAAGCUAUUUAGGUAGCGCCUCGUGAAUUCAUCUCCGGGGGUAGAGCACUGUUUCGGCUAGGGGGCCAUCCCGGCUUACCAACCCGAUGCAAACUGCGAAUACCGGAGAAUGUUAUCACGGGAGACACACGGCGGGUGCUAACGUCCGUCGUGAAGAGGGAAACAACCCAGACCGCCAGCUAAGGUCCCAAAGUCAUGGUUAAGUGGGAAACGAUGUGGGAAGGCCCAGACAGCCAGGAUGUUGGCUUAGAAGCAGCCAUCAUUUAAAGAAAGCGUAAUAGCUCACUGGUCGAGUCGGCCUGCGCGGAAGAUGUAACGGGGCUAAACCAUGCACCGAAGCUGCGGCAGCGACGCUG
This 515-nucleotide ribosomal RNA is filed under the name Salmonella enterica. Its description in RNAcentral is "partial 23S ribosomal RNA". It matches the Rfam family "Bacterial large subunit ribosomal RNA", at positions 703 to 1216 of the family's 2925-position model. Lineage: Bacteria; Pseudomonadati; Pseudomonadota; Gammaproteobacteria; Enterobacterales; Enterobacteriaceae. The record is from RNAcentral.